GACGAACGCUGGCGGCGUGCCUAAUACAUGCAAGUCGAGCGGACUUUCAAGAAGCUUGCUUUUUGAAAGUUAGCGGCGGACGGGUGAGUAACACGUGGGCAACCUGCCUGCAAGACGGGGAUAACUCCGGGAAACCGGGGCUAAUACCGGAUAAUAUCUUCCUUCGCAUGAAGGAAGGUUGAAAGGCGGCGCAAGCUGCCGCUUGCAGAUGGGCCCGCGGCGCAUUAGCUAGUUGGUGAGGUAACGGCUCACCAAGGCGACGAUGCGUAGCCGACCUGAGAGGGUGAUCGGCCACACUGGGACUGAGACACGGCCCAGACUCCUACGGGAGGCAGCAGUAGGGAAUCUUCCGCAAUGGACGAAAGUCUGACGGAGCAACGCCGCGUGAGCGAAGAAGGUCUUCGGAUCGUAAAGCUCUGUUGUCAGGGAAGAACAAGUACCGUUCGAACAGGGCGGUACCUUGACAGUACCUGACCAGAAAGCCACGGCUAACUACGUG
This 499-nucleotide ribosomal RNA is filed under the name uncultured bacterium. RNAcentral describes it as "partial 16S ribosomal RNA". It matches the Rfam family "Bacterial small subunit ribosomal RNA", at positions 28 to 507 of the family's 1533-position model. The record is from RNAcentral.